UACGAAGGGGGCUAGCGUUGUUCGGAUUUACUGGGCGUAAAGGGCGCGUAGGCGGCGCGGUAAGUCACUUGUGAAAUCUCUGAGCUUAACUCAGAACGGCCAAGUGAUACUGCAGUGCUAGAGUGUGGAAGGGGCAAUCGGAAUUCUUGGUGUAGCGGUGAAAUGCGUAGAUAUCAAGAGGAACACCGGUGGCGAAGGCGGGUCUCUGGGCCGAUACUGACGCUGAGGAGCGAAAGCGUGGGGAGCGAACAGG
Molecule: ribosomal RNA, 253 nt
Filed under: uncultured bacterium
Lineage: Bacteria
Description: partial 16S ribosomal RNA
Rfam family: Bacterial small subunit ribosomal RNA
Source: RNAcentral